This 204-nucleotide long non-coding RNA is filed under the name Lathyrus oleraceus (garden pea). Its description in RNAcentral is "Pisum sativum (pea) long non-coding RNA (PSAT_LNC018229)". The record is from RNAcentral. Lineage: Eukaryota; Viridiplantae; Streptophyta; Magnoliopsida; Fabales; Fabaceae.
CAAAAAGCAAAAGCUUCGAUGCAUGGUUGAUACGCCUAGAAGAGUCGGUGGAAUAUUCCAUUACCAAUAGCACAAGUCCCGUCUGGGGUAUAGGCCGACAAUGUUUCCAAAUUGACAAUUGUCCCUAGAGCAUAAUGUUUAAGAGCCACCAAGCAUUUUGGAAAUUGUUUUGUAAGACUCCUCCCAAUUUCCAAACACUUUUUC